UGACUCAGUGGUAGAGUGCUUGCCUCACAUGCAUGAGGCCCUGGGUUCAAUUCCUCAG
Dipodomys ordii (Ord's kangaroo rat) is the source of this 58-nucleotide non-coding RNA. NCBI's taxonomy places the organism in Eukaryota, Metazoa, Chordata, Mammalia, Rodentia, Heteromyidae. The record is from Rfam.